GACGAACGCUGGCGGCGUGCUUAACACAUGCAAGUCGAACGGAAAGGCCCUGCUUUUGUGGGGUGCUCGAGUGGCGAACGGGUGAGUAACACGUGAGUAACCUGCCCUUGACUUUGGGAUAACUUCAGGUAACUGGGGCUAAUACCGGAUAGGAGCUCCUGCUGCAUGGUGGGGGUUGGAAAGUUUCGGCGGUUGGGGAUGGACUCGCGGCUUAUCAGCUUGUUGGUGGGGUAGUGGCUUACCAAGGCUUUGACGGGUAGCCGGCCUGAGAGGGUGACCGGCCACAUGGGGACUGAGAUACGGCCCAGACUGCUACGGGAGACAGCAGUGGGGAAUAUUGCACAGUGAGCGGAAGCCUGAUGCAGCGACGCCGCGUGCGGGAUGACGGCCUUCGGGUUGUAAACCGCUUUCGCCUGUGACGAAGCGUGAGUGACGGUAAUGGGUAAAGAAGCACCGGCUAACUACGUG
This 468-nucleotide ribosomal RNA is filed under the name uncultured bacterium. RNAcentral's name for it is "partial 16S ribosomal RNA". It matches the Rfam family "Bacterial small subunit ribosomal RNA", at positions 28 to 507 of the family's 1533-position model. The record is from RNAcentral.